Molecule: ribosomal RNA, 334 nt
Filed under: uncultured bacterium
Lineage: Bacteria
Description: bacterial SSU rRNA
Rfam family: Bacterial small subunit ribosomal RNA
Source: RNAcentral
CUAGCGACUUCAGAGUUUGAUCCUGGCUCAGGACGAAUGCUGGCGGCGUGCCUAACACAUGCAAGUCGAACGGAGUUGCCCUUCGGGACAACUUAGUGGCGAACGGGUGAGUAACGCGUGAGAAACCUGCCUUUCAGUGGGGGACAACAGUUGGAAACGACUGCUAAUACCGCAUAAUGUAUCGAGAGGGCAUCCUCUUGAUACCAAAGAUUUAUUGCUGAAAGAUGGUCUCGCGUCUGACUAGCUAGUUGGUGAGGUAACGGCUCACCAAGGCGACGAUCAGUAGCCGGUCUGAGAGGAUGAACGGCCACAUUGGGACUGAGAUACGGCCCAG